Molecule: ribosomal RNA, 321 nt
Filed under: uncultured eukaryote
Lineage: Eukaryota
Description: partial 18S ribosomal RNA
Rfam family: Eukaryotic small subunit ribosomal RNA
Source: RNAcentral
CCCUUAGAUGUUCUGGGCCGCACGCGUGCUACACUGAGUGGAUCAGCGGGUCAGGUUGCGCGAAAGCGUUUCCUAAUCUUUAAAUCCGCUCGUGAUGGGGAUUGACGGUUGCAAUUUUCUGUCAUGAACGAGGAAUACCUUGUAAGCGCGGGUCAUCAUCCCGCGCUGAAUACGUCCCUGCCCUUUGUACACACCGCCCGUCGCUCCUACCGAUUGAGCAAUCCGGUGAAUACUUCGGACCGGUUACUUGGUUGGUUCGCUAACCUUGUGACUGGAAAGUCGAGUGAACCUUAUUGCUUAGAGGAAGGAGAAGUCGUAACA